GAAUCUGCGUCUUCAUCACAUCAGACGGAGAACAACCCCUCCGGUCUCCUGGAGUCUUCUCCUGCUGCUCAUCAGCCCCCACUACAAUCUGCAAGAUGUUCUCCACAGCUUCAGCACACAGAGCGUCAACCAGAGCUCCCAGUUUCUCCUGAAACAAUAUGAACAGUCACUAAAGCUGCAUUCAGACCUGCACUGAACUUCAGAUAAUCCCCCGACAUGUUCCUAACAUGUUCCUAACAUGUUCGGCUGGUUCUGUCUGUGAGAACAAAUGUCUGAGUCAGUGUCUCUGGACGUUUUCUGAAACUCUUCCUGCAGCCUCCUAGUGAGACGUGUGGAAGCUUCCCAGUGAGCGAGUGGACGAGGAGCUGGAAGAACACAAACAUCUCAGCAUGAAGAAGAGGAGCUGGACACGUAGAAGAUGAAGACAUCAACAUGGAAACACGAGGAGACUCCAGAUCGUUCAGUGAUGAGUCACAUCCUCACAGAAAGGACGGAUCGACCUUCAGCUGUGAUCGUCCGACUCGCCGCCGCUCUGUCGCCGCGGCGAGGGGAGGCUCCUCCCUCCGUCCUCGUGAUGUUGUUUGGAGGAGCUGGACAGGUCGAUGGCCACUUCCUCCUCCAGCUCCUCCUCUUCCUCCAACAGCUCCUCCCCCGGCUCCACCUCCCGGACCUCGCUGCCCCGCCGCUCCGCCGGGCUGAAGGAGUCGGAGCGAGUGGAUUCAGACGCUGGAGGACUGGAACACUUUUUGGCCAUUUCUAAAGAUUUCUUGUGCAUUCCUGAGGAAAGAGAGGCGGAGACAGAGAUUCAGUCCAGUCUGCUCCACUCACAACUUAUUACCACGUGAAAUUAUGAUAGAAAAUCAGUUUUAUCUUUACAACGUGACUUCAUCAACAGCCAUGGAAGUCUCCAGCGAAAUUAUAUUGUAUCUAUCAUGAAUAUAUGAACAAAUAAACAAGGAUAAAACUGAAAAGACAUAUAAUUCUUCAUUACAAUUAAAUAAUUAAAUACACUGGGGGCAGAUCAGGGGACGUUUGGACCCACAGCGUCUUGGUUACGGCCCUGAUUCAAACAUCAUGAUGACCUCAUGAACUUUAUAACUCACUUGCAAAUAAAUGCUAACUGUAAAUUAAGGCUGUGACGUGUAAUCUGAGAAAUAAACUUUCCCUCACAAUGAAACUUA
Pleuronectes platessa (European plaice) is the source of this 1181-nucleotide long non-coding RNA. RefSeq lists it as uncharacterized. Lineage: Eukaryota; Metazoa; Chordata; Actinopteri; Pleuronectiformes; Pleuronectidae. The transcript has 2 exons. The record is from RefSeq and is a predicted model, not a curated record.